GGCAAAGGAGGAUAUGUGCAUUUUCACUGGAUCUUGUUGUUUGGGCACCUGAGACAAGCUGGCAGUCACUAAAUCUCAGCGAUCACUCAAUGUGUGCCAGGCAUUCGCACACAAUAUCACUAACACCCAUGACAGUCCUUCAAGAGAGGUUCUGCUGUCUGAGAGAUUAUGUGACACGCCUAAGGUCACAGGAUCAGCAAAUACUAGGGCUGAGAUUUAAACCCAGAACUGUCUACUGCCAAAGCUUUUGCGCUCUCCCUCGUGCCACGUUGCUUCUCAUUUUGGGCUUGGUCUCCACUUCCCAGUCCUUGAAGGAGUUCUCCAGGUCUGCCCCAUUAGCACUGCAUCUCAGAAGGAAGCUGCAGCUGCGCCGCCAAUCUCCCGGUGGUAGGUGCUUAAUAAACAUUAUGAAGUGCAUGAACAAAUGAAUAGCCCCUGAUGGACAGACAUGCUUGAGAAACACUAUUUUUCACAUUCCUAUCUACACUCAAGAUUUUACCUAUGAUAGCAGGCUGAAGAUUCCCAGGAUCUUACAUCCUAGCAGCCCUAACAGUUCAGCUGAGCUGAAAGGAUGAGGAGGAAGCCCUUGGCGAUGGAACUUCUAGACAAGCCAAGGCCUGCCUGGCAGAGCUGGGAGCAGAUUGAGGAAGACACCACUGCCCCUCCACCCACCCCGCCGCCGCCUUCAUGUUGCCUUGAUCUUCUAUCCUCAGCUGACAUUUUUGUCGCUCAUCUCUGAUUGAAGAAACCUCAGUUUCUUAUUUGAUCUUUCCUGGACAACCGUUUAAUAGGCAGCAAGAAAAAGAGAUGAGAGAAAGUGAUUUUUCAUCCCUGACUUGACAUGAUAUUUUCCUUUUAACAAUUUAUCCAUACCUCUCCUCUCAGUUUCUCUCCUUUCAUAUACUCACAUACUAUCUGCCUCUCUGCAUAGCAAAGCAACCUUUUGAGCAGUUCUCUAAGAAGAUUCUAAAAAGCAAGGAAAAAGCAGGAUCACAAUAGCUCCUUCCCCAGUUCAAUUCAGCAAGCUUUUCUGAGCACCAGUCCAGAUGCAAGGCACAAUGAGAGGCAAGAUGAAGAAUGGGGGUUACUCUAUCCUCAUCGGACCAAUUUAGAAUCCAGUACAUGCACAUACAGGAAAAAUCCAAUGUGUUCAUCAUCUGUGUGUUCCAUAAUCAUUUACUGAGCACCUUUUAUCAAAAAGAGAAACCAUUUUUAAAGUAAACUGGAUUCUCUAUUAUAACAACAGUGAAGUUUGGCAAAAUGUUUUCCUCAUGUGAAGGCUUGAAUUUAAAGAAUUUUAAUUUAUGUUCAUUAUGAUUCAAUCCAACAUUUGUCUUUUUGUAUGUAUUAGAUCUUGCGAGGGACACAAAGAUAAUCAAGUUGUGGAUCUAGGUCUUAAGACGUAUAAAAUUGAGUGGGUCUAUGUCUUCCAAUACACAAAGUCAAGUGGAGAGACAUAAAUAACACUAACUUCAGUGCAAUGUAUACUAAAGGAUACGGAAUGACUUAUUCAGCAGCUACUAUGUGCCUGGUGCUUUACCCAUAUGAUUAAUAAAGCAUCUUUUGGUGAUAUUUACUGUUCAUGUAAUCUAUGGUCUAAGCCUGGUGACAUGGUCUUGAGAGGGAUACAAACAUGUAAUUACAAUGUAACAGGAAGUAGUGACAGGGAAAAUAAGAGAGAAUAGCCGGGACAUCUAAUCUGAUUUGGCAAAUCAAAGAAGGCUUCCAGGAAGAAGUGACUUCUGAGCUGAGUCCUGAAGAAUGAGUCAUCCAAAUAAAUCAGAGGAGGAGAUUGUUUUUGGCAGCAAAAAUAACAUGCACAAAGUCCCAAAGGCAGCGGGGAGACUUAUGUUCCUCAUCCAAUAAGAGAGGAAGCUGAGGUUCCAAUGAGUUAUUUAACUUACCAAAGAUCACACAGCUGGUGAUUGACCGAAGUUGGAUUUGGAUCUGGCGAGGCCUGCCUCAGGAUCAGCAAGUGCCAGCAGCUCAGCUCAGCAUCCUAGUGGACCAAGCAGCCCAGGGACUCUGAUGAGAGAGCAUCGCUCCUCAACUCAAAGGCAACUUCAGAAGGAUGCUGUCCUAAAACCAGCCCAGGCCUUGCAAGAAAAAUGACAAAGAGCAAGUUGAAAUGAGUUUUAGGGAUGAGCACUUUGUUGGAAAUGAAGAAUCCAUUUAAAAAAAAAAACCAUAAAUGUGAAAAAGACACAAUAAUUAAGACAGUAGUGAUCUAUUUUGGGAGCGAAGUGCUUUCAUAUAGAGCAUCACAUUUCACUUCCUCAACAACCUGGUGAGACAGACCUUAUUUCCAUUUCACAGAUGAAGUGAGGCUGGUGAUGGUAUGUGAAUCUCCCAAGAGUGCCCAAGUAUAUAAUGGAGCUGGCAUCAGACUUCCAGUGUUGCAUUUCCUAAAUCUACUGUGUACUUCUUUGAACCAAGCUGCCUGCCUCCAGAGGAACGGAAGUGUGCUGAGACCAAAACAUAACUCAGAGAAGGAAAGGGGACAGAAAAGUAACCCCCACCACUGAAACCCAUGGAAGCAAUAGUGUGUAAUUAUUGGCUAAUGACCAACUCACAGGUAAACUGUGUCUUAGCUCCCUUGGGUAAGAAAAGGAAGAUGUGCCUUCCAGCACCUUUGCUGGCUGCAAUUUUAUGUGGGAGAUGUUGAUUGGAAGGCCUACAAAGAUCCUCCUGUGUGGGGAGCUUUUUUCAAAGAAUGUUAAAGUAUCAUAAUUGCUUGGAUCUCCUGAGAAUUGCCUGUCUCACAGUCUCAUUUAUUACAAUUUCCAAAUAACUGAAAAAUGUUCCUUCCUUUGUGAUAGUCUGAAAAUUGAACGAACUGAAAGGACCCUCUUCUCCACCCAUGACUGCAACCCACAACUAGGUUUUCUUACAAAGCACAAAGAAAGAAAGAAGAAAGGGCAUCUUUCCUUUCCAACAGGGAAAAAAAAUUGUGAGAUGAUAUGAAAUUACAUUGUUACUAUUUUAAACCUCACUAUAAAUCCAUGUAUCUGCUGCAUUAGCUUACAGUUGGUAUACACGUGGUUGAGCUAAUCUGAGAGUGUCUCAUUAUUCUACAUACGAGCAAAAAGAACAGACUUAGUCAGGCCUUUAACCAGCAGGGAGAGCUUGAGUGAGUAAUGCAACCCUUGCUGGUCCCUGUCAUGCCUGCUUCCCAGGCAUGUUGACACAUAAACAAGUGCUUUGAAAUCUAUAAACCAUCACAUCAGUGUAAAUUAUUAUUAUCACUGUGGUUAAAAACAACAACAGAUCUCAAAAAAAAAAAAACAGCCCCUCUCCCUCUCCCUCUCCCUCUCCCUCUCCCCACGGUCUCCCUCUCCCUCUCCCUCUCCCCAUGGUCUCCCUCUCCCUCUCUUUCCAUGGUCUCCCUCUGAUGCCGAGCCGAAGCUGGACUGUACUGCUGCCAUCUAGGCUCACUGCAAUCUCCCUGCCUGAUUCUCCUGCCUCAGCCUGCCGAGUGCCUGCGAUUGCAGGCGCGCGCCACCACGCCUGACAGGUUUUCGUAUUUUUUUGGUGGAG
This 3537-nucleotide long non-coding RNA is filed under the name Homo sapiens (human). Its description in RNAcentral is "HSALNT0069412". Lineage: Eukaryota; Metazoa; Chordata; Mammalia; Primates; Hominidae. The record is from RNAcentral.